AUAAAAAUCCAUACAUUCAUUCAAACAUUAUUAAUCCAAUAUUACAUUCAAACAAAUUUCAUCCAACAUCACAAAUUUCAUCGAACAUUUGAAUCUUCAUUCAAACAUUAUUAAUCCAAUAUUACAUUCAAACAAAUUUAAUCCAACAUCACAAAUUUCAUCCAACAUUUGAACUUAUUAUUCAUCAAACUAGAAUAUGGUGAAGAACGUCCCUCUAACGCAGGAGAUCAACGAGAACAUAUCCAAGGACACCUUCAUGUAUUCCGGUCUCUCCUCCGAUUGCUCCACCAUCCGCGACUCGAUCACUUCUAGUAGCCGCUGCAUUAACAAGAACAGCUUUGUAAGCUUGGUAUUAAAAAAUGCAGCAGAAAAUAAGAAAAAGGAUUGAAGAAAAGAGAACACUCUAUCAAGCAUUCUGUCGAACAUCUAGCGGGCAAACUACACAAGCGAUUUCUCAAAGCUAUAAAGAAGAUGAAUCGCCAAGAAUAUAACACCAAAAGCUACCAGCAGAAGAAAAUCAGGAGAAGAAUGAUUAGGAUGCAGAUUUUCGUCUGAGUUUGAAAGGAAAAUAUGAGCUUUAACACCCUUUUAUAAUAGUAGUCUCCGGCGCCUUAUCGCAGUACCUCGGCACCUCCACCUCUCCGCGCGGCUUCCUCCACUUCAACCACCCCAAGGCCACCAGAUCUGUGCUGCUCUCUUUCCCUACGCCGCUGAUUUGAGUGCGGAUCUGGGUGUGUGCGUUGGGUGUGAGAAGAGAGAAAGUGAUAGAAAGAAAAGGGAGAGGAGGGAGAAGAUGGCGGUUGGCCGCGAUGGAGCUGCCGGGCUCCGGCGAUGGAGCAAAGUGGCUGGGCGGCGGGACCUAGGGCUGAGAGAGAGGGAUGAAAUCUGAGAGAGAGAUAGUGAGAUGGGAGGGGAGGGGGCGCGGCGCAGAUAAGGGGAAUAGUGAGAGAGAGAUAUAUUAUUACC
RNAcentral lists this long non-coding RNA (966 nucleotides) under Salvia miltiorrhiza (redroot sage). Its description in RNAcentral is "long non-coding RNA (SMIL_LNC004920)". Lineage: Eukaryota; Viridiplantae; Streptophyta; Magnoliopsida; Lamiales; Lamiaceae. The record is from RNAcentral.